This 238-nucleotide ribosomal RNA is filed under the name uncultured bacterium. RNAcentral's name for it is "partial 16S ribosomal RNA". It matches the Rfam family "Bacterial small subunit ribosomal RNA", at positions 15 to 236 of the family's 1533-position model. The record is from RNAcentral.
GAUCCUGGCUCAGGAUGAACGCUGGCGGCGUGCUUAACACAUGCAAGUCGAACGGAACUGUUUGGAUGAAGUUUUCGGAUGGAUUUUAAACAGUUUAGUGGCGGACGGGUGAGUAACGCGUGGGUAACCUGCCUCACACUGGGGGAUAACAGUUAGAAAUAGCUGCUAAUACCGCAUAAGCGCACAGCUCCGCAUGGAGCAGUGUGAAAAACUCCGGUGGUGUGAGAUGGACCCGCGU